GGGGUUGUAGCUCAGUGGUAGAGCGCUUGUCUUGCACCUAUGAGGCACUAGAUUCAAUCUCA
Molecule: transfer RNA, 62 nt
Filed under: Ictidomys tridecemlineatus (thirteen-lined ground squirrel)
Lineage: Eukaryota; Metazoa; Chordata; Mammalia; Rodentia; Sciuridae
Description: Spermophilus tridecemlineatus (thirteen-lined ground squirrel) tRNA
Rfam family: tRNA
About the family: Transfer RNA (tRNA) molecules are approximately 80 nucleotides in length. Their secondary structure includes four short double-helical elements and three loops (D, anti-codon, and T loops).
Source: Rfam by way of RNAcentral